Non-coding RNA from Delphinapterus leucas (beluga whale), 3296 nucleotides. NCBI's taxonomy places the organism in Eukaryota, Metazoa, Chordata, Mammalia, Artiodactyla, Monodontidae. The record is from RefSeq and is a predicted model, not a curated record.
UUAAAAACUCAAAUAAAUAUGUGAAACAAGAGUUUUUAAGAUACUGAAUGUCAGGAGAUGAAGGACCAUGGUGCCCAAGAGACAGAAAAUAAUUGAAGUGAGUCCUACGAUGGCACUAACUUACCUUGAGAGAGUUUCCAGUCACAGUUGAGGAAAGGGAAACCCAAGCAGAGCCCGGGAAUCACCAUGAGUUGAGGGAGGAUUCUGAAUGUCCGGGGAGGCCAAGGCAGCGAGAGUUCAUGGGACACAGUCUCAGAGAGGGGAGAGCCUCACAGAAUGAGAUGCCAGAGACCUGCAGAGGGUCCCCCACCCUUCCCCAGCUGAGCACCGAUCAGUGCAUGUGUUGGAGGGAACUCUCAGAGGCUGGGAAGAGCCAACUGAAAGGGAUAGAAGAAAUAGCACUAGGAGCUCCAACAAAGACAGAAAUAGUUUGUUCCGCCCAUCAGAGAGGAAAACCUUAUAAUUUAUGGGGCAUCAACAGAGCAUUCAGAGGGUUUAGCCCUAGUCGUUAGGCAAAAUUAGCCCUAGACUAAAUGCUCCUAUAAUUCUGCCUCACAGAGCUUGUUUAAAGAAUUAGGAUGUGCUGUAUUUCUCAAUCCAGCAUGAACCUGAGACUGACUGGAUUUUGGAUCGAGGUGGAAGACAUCACCUUGUAAACCGCAUGACCAACAUUACCCAGUCAGAAGAUCUAUCUUCUUGUGUCUCUGCAUGGCCGCUGUAGUAGGAACUGACAACCGUGUGGGUUACUUGCAGUCCAAGUCUCCAUUUUUGGCUUCUGUCUCCUUUUGUGAAGAUGGAAUACAAAUGGGACCACCUAAAGCACAACUGUGAAGACCUCCCUCUUUGGCAGCUUCCCAUGUUUCCUGAUUAAGCUUAUUCCCUUGCUUGAGCGAAUUCCAGGACUUUCCUGCUGGUAUUCAGUUUAGCUCUCUCUUGAUAGGGCUCCAUGUUAGGAAUGUUUAUCCUGUUCCUAUCAUUACCUCAAAGAAGAGAAGGACUGAGGAAUGGAAACUGAGAAAUGGACGUGCCACAAGAUUAAAGGAGCUGACAUUCCCCAAUCAAAGGACAUUUAUUGUGAAGCUACUAUGUACUGUGCACUGUUCUCGGUGCUUUCAGAUGUGUUUCAGGGGACUGUGCCCUUAAAUUAGUCAAGCAAUUCAAUCACUUGUUUUCAAUCUAUUCUCAACAGGACGCUACAUAGGAGAUAUGAAGUGAGAGUCGAAUUUGUUUACUUAGAGACAAUUGUUCACUUAGAGACAAUUGUUCUACUAUUUAUUGAGAAGUCUAUGUUUUAUUUUUUGCUGAUCUUCUGUACCAACCUGGCCAUAACUCAAGUCUUCAUGAAUGUGUGAUUCUGGAUCUGGACUCUCUAUUCUGUUUCAUUGGUCUGUUUAUCUACCCUUGUGCUAAUGCCAUGCCAUCUUAAAUACUACAGCCUGAUAAGAAGUCUUGAUAUCUGGCAAGGUAGACCAGAAGCUGGGUUGUGCCUGGUCAUCACUCUGGAGGGGGAUUCCUGGAGCAGGCAUUCUCUGCAAUGCUGUCUUUUGCUAUGAUGGGGAAGAGAGAGGACGGCAAAAUCAUGCACUGGGUCUUAAAAUUGCCACUCAGAGUGUUCACCAUGUCAAUGAAGUGAGUCAGGUGCCUUCCUAAAUAAUGCCACCGAACCAGUAAAGUAUCAGGGUCACUUGAAGUGAAUGCCAGCAGUUUCGUCACUCGUUUAUGUAACCACGAAGUAAGAUGCUAAGACCCAAAGGUCAGUGAGCAGCAAUGAUACUCAUGCAUCUUUUGCAGUAUGUCCUAGAAUAUUCAACUAUAUGCCCAGUCACCCUCUCUACUGGGUCUAAAUACAUGAAAGCAUGUUCAUAGCAAGGCCUCUUCGGUAAGAUUUUAAAAUAUAAAACUAAACCCCAAACACUGAAACCACUUAUUGAAGAUCAACUGUGUAGAGUGCAAUUGACUUUCAAAUACGUUAUCACUUAUCAAAUACAUUCAAUUCUCACAAUAGUCCUGUGGAAUAUUACUGCCCUCAUUUCACAGAUCAGGAAACUGAAGCUCAGAGAAGUUAAAUGACUUGUCAAAACCACACUGCUAUAAAUCUAUGAAGCCUGUUCCUCCUUUAUGACACUUGCUGCCUCUCUAAGACAAAUGUGAGGUAAGUGGUCAGAACAAUUCAAAUGUUAAAGGAUGUCUCUGAGUCUGUAGUGACAUUCUUCCUCAUUGCCUCCUUCUUGGAUAAAUACACAGUGCAUCUGUAGAGUGUGUUCCCAUAAAUAAGUCUCCUAAGUUUUCCCAUCUGUAGAGGUAAGGAGAGACCGUGGGGUAGAGGUGGCAGGAGAGGACACUUCAGGUGUUCAAUCAUGCGGAUUGCUGGGAGUGUGGCAUCAACUUAUCCAGCUCCGCAUCUGCCUGGCCACCUGAGUGUCUCAGGUAAACUGGGCCAGAAAAGUCUAGCAAAUGCUUUUCUUGCCCUAAACUCAUCUUAGGUCAUGAAGAGCUGAGAGAACAGGUAUUAUAGAUUCAGGGUGCUUUUUUUUAUUGCUUCUGGGACUUCACUGCCGUCCUUCCUUAUCUGCUAAUAGAUCCUAGAUGGCAGAAGUUUUAUGUAUUUUAUAUAUUUUGAAUAAGGUCUCAACAGUGAAAAUAAAGGUAGUUCAUCUGUGUUCAUCUGCACACCACCACUUCUCCCCACUUUAAGGAUUACACACCUUGACAACAGGGAUGAACAAAGGAGCCAGGCUGGGCUACUGUGAUUUUCCCAACUGAGUUGGAUGUGAUGAAUUACUUGGUUCUUCUGUUCUUAACAGGCUGUAAAGAUGUAAGUCUUGAGUUUUGAGCUGCAUAAGGUCAUAGUUCAGCCUCUAAGGGGACAGCUGGCUUGAGAGAAUGAAGGCACCAUGAAAGAAGGUGGAAUAAGUACCAGAGAGAGAGAGUACGUGUCCUAACAGCAUCCCAUUGCUGGAGUCCGUAGACCCAAUCCAGCCCUACUCUUCUUGUGGCUCGCUCAGAUUCUCCAUUUUGCUCCAGGUCGUCUGAGUUAGAUUUCUGUCACUUAGUACUGAAGGAGUCUGGACUAAUACAGAAAUUAUGCUUUAAUAACUGAAAUAAUAACAGUGGCUCCUUGAGAGUUAACUUUGUGCCAAGUAUUUCACUCAGAUCGUCUUUAUUUUUUUCUUGAAUAUAAUCACACAAGGCAGGUAUCGCCCUUUUAUUUACGAAGAAAUUGAAGUUCUGAGAGGUUAAAUGACUUUCUUAAGGUCACACAGCUAGAGAGUAGUAGAGUAAGAUUUUGAAUCCAU